This 250-nucleotide ribosomal RNA is filed under the name uncultured bacterium. Its description in RNAcentral is "partial 16S ribosomal RNA". It matches the Rfam family "Bacterial small subunit ribosomal RNA", at positions 524 to 776 of the family's 1533-position model. The record is from RNAcentral.
GACGGGGGGGGCAAGUGUUCUUCGGAAUGACUGGGCGUAAAGGGCACGUAGGCGGUGAAUCGGGUUGAAAGUGAAAGUCGCCAAAAAGUGGCGGAAUGCUCUCGAAACCAAUUCACUUGAGUGAGACAGAGGAGAGUGGAAUUUCGUGUGUAGGGGUGAAAUCCGUAGAUAGUCGUAAGGAAGACCAGUGGCGAAGGCGGUCUCUGGACAGUUCCUGACGCUGAGGCACGAAGGCCAGGGAGCAAACGGG